GACGAACGCUGGCGGCGUGCUUAACACAUGCAAGUCGAACGGAAAGGCCCUGCUUUUGUGGGGUGCUCGAGUGGCGAACGGGUGAGUAACACGUGAGUAACCUGCCCUUGACUUUGGGAUAACUUCAGGAAACUGGGGCUAAUACCGGAUAGGAGCUCCUGCUGCAUGGUGGGGGUUGGAAAGUUUCGGCGGUUGGGGAUGGACUCGCGGCUUAUCAGCUUGUUGGUGGGGUAGUGGCUUACCAAGGCUUUGACGGGUAGCCGGCCUGAGAGGGUGACCGGCCACAUUGGGACUGAGAGACGGACCAGACUCGUACGGGAGGCAGCAGGGGGGAAUAUUGCACAAUGGGCGGAAGCCUGAUGAAGAAACGCCGCGUGCGGGAUGACGGCCUUCGGGUUGUAAACCGCUUUCGCCUGUGACGAAGCGUGAGUGACGGUAAUGGGUAAAGAAGCACCGGCUAACUACGUG
RNAcentral lists this ribosomal RNA (468 nucleotides) under uncultured bacterium. RNAcentral describes it as "partial 16S ribosomal RNA". It matches the Rfam family "Bacterial small subunit ribosomal RNA", at positions 28 to 507 of the family's 1533-position model. The record is from RNAcentral.